Gorilla gorilla gorilla (western lowland gorilla) is the source of this 5013-nucleotide long non-coding RNA. RefSeq lists it as uncharacterized. The record is from RefSeq and is a predicted model, not a curated record. NCBI's taxonomy places the organism in Eukaryota, Metazoa, Chordata, Mammalia, Primates, Hominidae. The transcript is spliced from 13 exons.
UCAAAGUGCCUGUUCUACGUACUUUGCUGAGACAAAAAUCCAAGUUCUUCCUUCCCAUAGCAUUAAAUGUGUUCUUCUCAGCCUGAGUUCAUGGGACAUCGAAAGGGAAGAAUGUGGAUUAGGCAACUCUCCCAUUCUCCUCCUGAGGAGGCUUAUUUAUGUAAGCCUUCUUUUCUUAUCUUCGACUCACAUUCCCUUGGCUUUUGGAAAAUUAGAUUACCUAUUUUAUUUUCCUAGCCAUAUGCAACUUAUAAACCUUGGCAGUCCAAAUCUAUUGGAAAGCUCAGAAGUACUAGUCUCUCUUAGUCUUGAUAGUAUCUGAUGAGAUUUGUCUUCCUAAUUUUAUUUGUUGACAACAGCAGUCUUGUUUUAAGUGGUUCUUUUUCGCACUCCAAUAGGAGGCACUCAAUCCUCUCUGGAAAAGACUGCAAACAAAGAGUUUCUUUCCCCUUUUCAUCUAAGGAGAGUUAAUGUGCCUGUAUCUUCAGAGAAGGCAGCUGCAGUUCAAGAGUAUGCCCAGUGUUCUCGUUUAUCCUCCUCCUCCUCCUGUGGGCUGUUGGAUUCCUGGCGACAGUAAGCCAGACACUCCAGGAGAUGACCUCUUCUUGUCGAUACUGUCAUUCUGUCUUCCCCUUGGCUCUGACCUAUAUCUUCCCUUGCUGGCUCUUAGUCUGCUCUUUGCUGACACACUUCGACUGCAACACAAUUCCCCAUCCUUGCUUGAAUCAUAGGCGAGUGUGUUCUCUGCUUGGUAAAGAUGACUUGAUAUUGACCCUAGUAUUCUCUCUGCUGCUUCCUUUCUGGUCUCUUUUCUGCCUCCCCUAACUUUCAGGGUGCUAUUUCACAAUUUCUUGAAAGACACUGGACUGAACAACAUAUAAGAAAAAAAGGCUACAGCAUAAAUAAUAUAAUAACCACUAUUUGCAUACUUUGUGUCAUGCACUGUGUUAGCACUUUGCAAGCAUUUUCUCAUUAAAUUCUGAUGAAAGGUCAUUAUGUAAUAUAUUUCUGUUGUUAUCUUAAUUUCAGAAGUGGUAACUGAAGCUCAGAGAGUUUACAUUACUUUCCCAAUGGUAAGCCUAGUAAAUGAUAGAGCCACAACUUGAGCUCACUUGCCAUGCCCAAGUCUAUUCCUAUACUCAAUACUAUUCGACCUCAUUGCUUGGAGACACAAGGAAAAGCACUUCUGAGACCCUCAACAUUGUUCAUUUUCAUAAUAUUGCAUCUUUGGCAACCAAAUGUUGCUGUGGUGAUUUUGUUUCUCCCUGUUUCCCUGUUGCUAACAUCCAGGGCCCAAAGUUCCCUCUGAGCUCGCUGUCGUCUCUUACUUCUAUUAGCAAGAGGUGUGGAAAGACCUAUUUUCCCAACCUAAUCAGACAGUGCAGACGGUAGCUUCUUAUCCUGUUGUGCUUAGGUCAAUGUUUUAUCGGUUUUUAAAAUACCUUGUUUUAGAUAUAAUCAAUACCUUAUUUCCUUUUAAGCAGUAGCUCUGUAAUUUUGUAUUAGAAAUAGAUAACACAGAGUUACAAUGCCAGUAGCCAGCACUGUUUAUGUACCCAACAUGGUGAUUUAUGUGUAUUCUUACUGAAUCAUUGCAAAAGUUAGGUGAGGCUGAUAAUAAUGUGAUCUUCAUUUGACAGAGAGGAAACUAAGACUCAAUACAAUAGCAAGCUUCUGUCACCUUGACUACUGCAUCAUUCUCCCAAGUGGUCUUUUCACAUAUCCUCUUGCUCUUCACUCUUUUCCCACAUUAUUGCAAGAGUGAUAUGUUUCAAAAUGUAUGUCUUAUUAGGCCACUUUCCUAUGUAAGCCCUGUCAGUGGUUUCCAAUUUCCCUUAGAACCAAGUCCAAAAUCCUUUAUGUGGCUUAGGAGAAUUGCCGUGUUUCACCCUGGACCAAGUUCUCACUCUUGUUCUCACUCUUGUCUCUUAGCUCUUUGAUCAAAACUUCUGUAACCCAAAUCUACUGGUUUUCUUUCUAUCUCCAGUAGGUGCCUAAAUAUAAAUUAUAUUAUCUGUCUCCCAAGUUAUUUGAAUAAAGCUUGAACCCCAAUUUGGCUAUUCCUUAUUGUGCCUGCUCCACUGGCAAAUAUAGUUUUGUAGUAGUUUCAUUCACAUCUGUUCAGCUGUUGUAGUUUUAGCUGUUUUUCAUAUUCAACCUGGUAGGUUGAAUAUUAUCCUUCCACCCAAAAGAUGUUCAAGUCCUAAGUCCUGGGACUUGUGAAUGUUAUUUUAUGUGGCAAAAGGGAUUUUGCAGGUGUGAAUAAAUUAAGGAUCUUGAGAUGGGAAAGUUAUCCUGGAUUAUCUGUGUGGGCCUGAUGUAAUCACAAGUCUAAUGGCUCUAAUAAUGGCCCUACUAAUGGCCCUAAUCACCUCAACCUUUUACUGCUUCUUUAAGAUACUUUAAGAGGGAGGCAGGAGAUCAGAGUAACAGUAGUAGGAAAUAUGGCAACAGAAGCAAGAAGGUGGAGUGAUAAGAAGGGACUAUGAGCCAAGGAGUACAGGGAAUCUCUAGGACUGAAAAAGGCAAAGAAACAGAGAUCUGAAGUCCCCAGAAGGAGGACAUCCUGCUGAAAACCUUAUUUUAGACUUCCAAUCUUUAGAAUUGUAGGAGGAUAAAUUUAUCUUGUUUUAUGACACAAAAUUACUUGUCACUUGUUAGAAUAGCAGUAAGAAACAAAUACAUCCCAUGACCCAACUUUCAAGAUUCUAGAAAACCGAGAGACUGGAGUCAUUUAUUUAACAAAUAUCUUCUGAGUGCCAGGUACUCUACCUGAGACAUUGCCCUUGUGGUUUUAUUUUUGAAUACAGAAAGACAGAAAAAAAAAUAAAGAUCAUAUUGGAGUUAUUAGUACUAUACAUUUAGAGAAGACAAAAAAAAAAAAAAGAAGAAGAAGAAGAUAUGAUGGAUCUGUAGUGCCAGGGAGGGGAAUUGCAAUUUUAAAUAGGAUGGUCAGUGCAGGCCUCCUUCAGAAAGUGAGCAAUGUGAAGGAGUUAGCUAUAUGGAUCUCUUAGGGCAUUCACCAGGCAGAUAAAAAAACUAGUACAGAGGUCAUAAGAAGGGAAUGUGCCUGGAUAUUCACAGAACAGUAAAAAGGCCAGUGUGGCUGAGGCAGGGUGAGUUGGGGUAGAAGAAUAGGAUAAUGAGGUCAUAGAGGUACCAGUAGAACCAGCUCUUGUCAGGCUCUCCCUGGAGUACUGUGGGUUACCACUGGAGGGUUUUGAGCAGAGCCAUGGCAUAUACUGAUCUACGUGUAUGUGUUUCUAAGCAUAACUUCUUGGAAGAAAAGGGAAUUCUUAGAAGCAAUUAGAGUAUCACACCCAUGCUAUACCCUUUGCUUCAUUAGCUUGCUCUAUUUGUCUGUUAUUUUGAAAUUACCCAAGCUGAAGCAGAAAAACUGCCAGGAAAAUGUCACAGCCACCCCUUAAUGAACAGCAGAAACACCAGCAAAACACCAACUGCAACAUGGUGUAUUUUGAAGGAAUCAAGAUAAUCAGUUGAGAGUGAGGAGAGGAGAUGUGCUGGAGGCUUAAGGAGUGAGUAGAAGGUGAGAUUAAAUUUACCUACACCUAGAGAAAUAAUUGGAGCACAUGUCUAUUUGGGCCAACAGGAUAAAGGCCAGUAGAGGAAUCAGAUCAAAGAACUUCCUCAGGGAAGUGUGCAGAGAACUGGAGUGGACCUUCCCCUAGGAAGCUGCCCAAAAGGAGAGUGCUGGAAGGCUGGCCGCAGUGAGGCACUUCAGAUCCCAAGUGUAUGCUGGGGAAGCUGCCACAGGUGGGAGCACUUGCUGCUGGCCCCUAGGCACUGUUGAAACAACUGCACCAUCUGCAGGAGCCCAACAAGGCCAUUUGGUUCUGAACACCACAUUCAAGAGGAGCAUUGUACACUGGAAUUUGCAAACUGAAACUGGAAGAUAGAAGUUUAUUUCUCUCUCCAGUCAUAAAGCUGUUGGAAAUUGAUACUGGGAGCUGCUAGUGACCAUCUUUCCAGUUCUAUGUGUGUUUGUGUUGCCAAAGCCAGGCAUCCCAUCUGGAGAGAGAGAAGACUGAAGCAGAAACACAAUGGGAAGGAAGCAAAGAUGGAGAGACGAGUUUUUGGAUUCAACUGAAGCCCUUGCUAUCUGGUAGAGUCAGAGUCAUCACAAUUGGGGGGUCUUCAUUAAGCUACAAUUUUUAAUGGAACAUCCUAGUGAGGUUUGAGAGUACAGCUUGAUGGUCUAUAUUACAUUACGAAGCCGAUUUUAUUGGAAAGAACUUGUUUGCAUCCCUGCUAGACAAAAACCUACAAGUUAACCUUUGCCUGUAUGGAGUUGUAAAACAGACCAGUUGAUAGAAAGAGAAGCCUGCUUCCCGAAGCCCUCAGCAGAAGCCGAGCAGAUGUUGGCACCAUGCUUCUUGUACAGCCUGCAGAACUUGAAGAAACACUCCAUAUUAGUUUUCUGGAGCCAUCGUUAUGAAGUAACACAGACUGGGUGGCAUAAACAAUGGAGAUUUAUUUUUUCACAAUUCCGGAGGCUAGAAGUUUGAGAUCAAGGUGUUGGAAAGUGUCUCAGGAUGAUACAUACCGGUUUUUAACUUUGGUGUCAUCAAAUGCAAUUGCAAUGUGACUGUUUCUUGAAAGCCCGAACUGCUUGCUCCCUAUCAAAAGAGCUGGUUCUGAUUCUGCAGCACAAGGACCCUGUAAAAUACCCAGGAGAGAAAAACAGGAGAUUAUGGACUGUUCUUUAAAAAGGAAGAAGAACACCUCCUGGAUUCGAUCCUCCAUUUCUGCAACGGGCAGCCCUCAAGAAGCAGGCAGAAGCAGUGCUUAAUAAAACGGUAUUCUCAGAUGAGCCAAUGUUACGGAAAAGAGUUGUACCAAACUGAUCACUCUAACAUGUAACCUCAAAGUUUAAAGCCAUUAUGGUGUAUAGUCCUUUGUUUUUAAGGACAUCCAAGGUGAUGUUUACUAUCAUUGAUUUGCAACAGGAUGGAUACUGUUUUAAUAAAACUUCUAUCACCUUCCUUUAUUAAA